This 425-nucleotide ribosomal RNA is filed under the name Mycobacteriaceae bacterium Ellin7083. Its description in RNAcentral is "bacterial SSU rRNA". It matches the Rfam family "Bacterial small subunit ribosomal RNA", at positions 28 to 455 of the family's 1533-position model. Lineage: Bacteria; Bacillati; Actinomycetota; Actinomycetes; Mycobacteriales; Mycobacteriaceae. The record is from RNAcentral.
GACGAACGCUGGCGGCGUGCUUAACACAUGCAAGUCGAACGGAAGGCCCUUUCGGGGGUACUCGAGUGGCGAACGGGUGAGUAACACGUGGGUGAUCUGCCCUGCACUUUGGGAUAAGCCUGGGAAACUGGGUCUAAUACCGAAUACACCUUAUGGUCUGCAUGGAUUGUGGGGGAAAGCUUUUGCGGUGUGGGAUGGGCCCGCGGCCUAUCAGCUUGUUGGUGGGGUGAUGGCCUACCAAGGCGACGACGGGUAGCCGGCCUGAGAGGGUGUCCGGCCACACUGGGACUGAGAUACGGCCCAGACUCCUACGGGAGGCAGCAGUGGGGAAUAUUGCACAAUGGGCGCAAGCCUGAUGCAGCGACGCCGCGUGAGGGAUGACGGCCUUCGGGUUGUAAACCUCUUUCAAUAGGGACGAAGCGCAA